AACCCGGUUGCUCUCGUGAAGGAACUGUGAACUGGGAGGGAGCGUCUUUUGAAGUAUUUCAGUCUACGGUUUUAAAGAGUAUAUGGAUACUUUCAAAAGGGAGAGAGCUCAGAUUUAAGCCCUAGGCGCGUUCACCGGAGACCCGCCCUCUGCCCGUGCUAGGCGUGGGCUGGAAUUACAGGCACGCACCAUUCCAUCCGGUUAAUCUUGGAGAUUCAGCCUGGAGCUUCCUGCGUGGGACAUGAGGACUGUCUCUCUUGGCUCCGACCUUUCAGGGAGGAGAGACGCAAAGGCUGUGGUAAACCCAUGGACAAAGGAUUUUUAUGAGCUCAAAGCUACAGUGGGAAAAGUGAGCAAUGCACACCAGUGUAAACAUCUUCACCUGCCUAGAUGCCCACAGAACCAGAGAGCCCAGUGCUGCCUGUGGGGAGGGGCUGUGCAUGAAGAGUCAGAAGAGCUGUGUCCUUCAUCUCAGACCAGAGGAAUCCUUUCACUCUUUUCAAGGCCUUACUCUGGACUCACCAUCUUCCUUUUGGAGUGCUAAGAUUACCUGCAUGACCACCAUACUUAGUGUCUUAGUUUGGGUUUUAUCGCUAUGAAGAGACACCAUGACCAGGACAACUCUUAUAAAAGAAAUUGGAGCUGGCUUACAGUUUCAGGUGUUUAGUUCAUUAACAUCAUGGGGAGAAGCAUGGUGGUAUGCAGGCAGACAUGGUGUUAGAAAAGGAAGUGAGAGUUCUACAGAUGAUCCACAGGCAGCAAAAGGAGAUUAUGUAUCAUUCUGGGUGUAGCUUGAGCGUAGGAGACCUCAGAGCCCACCCCACAGUGACACACUUCCUCUACAAGGUCUCUGUUGUGUUAGAAUCACGGCUUGUCCGGACAGAUCACAGCAGGUCAGUAAGUUCCACAGGAGAGAGGUUUAUUGGGGGAUGGGGGAGGACAAAAGAGGGCAACAAAUAUGAUGAGGGAAAGAGAGCAAAGGUCAGGAGUGGUCUGCCUUUUAUUUGGGUUGUGACGUAACAGCUUGCAGGUAAAGGUGGGAGGUGGGUGGACCAGAUGGACACUAGGAAUGUACAGUGAUUGCUAUGGCAACAGAUGUGCAGGUCCCUGUUGCUUAGUGACCUGCAACUGUAAAAGCCAGUUUCUGAAGCCAACAGCCACGCCUCCUUCAACAAGGUCACACCUCCUAAUAGUGCCACUCCCUCCCGAUAGGCCAAGCCUUCAAACACAGUCUGUGUGGGCCAUUCCUAUUCAAACAACCACAUAUAGCUUAAGAUUGCCACCACCCCCCUUGUUUCACAUAUAUGUGUGUGUGUUUGUAUAUGUAUGCAGGUACAAGUUCAUGUGUGUGUAAGUGUGUGUGAAAAUUAGAAGUUGAUGUCAGACAUCUUCUUCAACUGCUCUCCACCUUUUAAAAAGAAUUAAGGUUUAUUACAUUUUCAUUUUCAUUUAUGUUGGUAUGGCAUUUGUGUGUGUGUAGCAUCCGAUCUCCUGAAACUACAGCUACAGAGAGUUGUACGCCAUCAACAUGGAUGCUGGCAUCUGAAUGCUGGGACCUUCUGGAAUGGCAGCAAGGGCUGUAACUGCUGAGCCAUCUCAUCUCUCUAGCCCUCUGACAUCAAUUCAGCUAUACUCGCUGGUCUGCAAGCUAGAUGUGCAAAAUCGGCAAGCUCUGUGUUCAGGGAGAGACCUUGCCUCAAUAAAUGAGUGGGAAGCCACUAAGGAAGAAA
RNAcentral lists this long non-coding RNA (1730 nucleotides) under Mus musculus (house mouse). Its description in RNAcentral is "predicted gene, 47416". The record is from RNAcentral. Lineage: Eukaryota; Metazoa; Chordata; Mammalia; Rodentia; Muridae.